CGGGUGAGUAACAUGUGGAUAACCUACCUAUAAGACUGGGAUAACUUCGGGAAACCGUAGCUAAUACCGGAUAAUAUAUUGAACCGCAUGGUUCAAUAGUGAAAGACGGUUUUGCUGUCACUUAUAGAUGGAUCCGCGCCGCAUUAGCUAGUUGGUAAGGUAACGGCUUACCAAGGCAACGAUGCGUAGCCGACCCGAGAUGGUGAUCGGCCACACUGGAACUGAGACACGGUCCAG
Molecule: ribosomal RNA, 237 nt
Filed under: uncultured Staphylococcus sp.
Lineage: Bacteria; Bacillati; Bacillota; Bacilli; Caryophanales; Staphylococcaceae
Description: partial 16S ribosomal RNA
Rfam family: Bacterial small subunit ribosomal RNA
Source: RNAcentral